GACGAACGCUGGCGGCGUGCUUAACACAUGCAAGUCGAACGGAGUGGCGAACGGGUGAGUAACACGUGGGUGACCUGCCCUGCACUUCAGGAUAAGCCUGGGUAACUGGGUCAACUAACGGCUAGGGUGGGAUGGGCCCGGGGCCUAUCAGCUUGUUGGUGGGGUAAUGGCCUACCAGGGCGGCGACGGGUAGCCGGCCUGAGAGGGUGGACGGCCAAAUGGGGACUGAGACACGGCCCAGAGUCCUACGGGAGGAAGCAGUGGGGAAUAUGGCACAAUGGGCGGAAGCCUUAUGCAGCGACGCCGCGUGGGGGAUGACGGCCUUCGGGUUGUAAACUCCUUUCACCAUCGACGCGGUAGAUGGAGAAGAAGCACCGGCUAACUACGUGCCAGCCGCCGCGGUAAUUC
Molecule: ribosomal RNA, 408 nt
Filed under: uncultured bacterium
Lineage: Bacteria
Description: partial 16S ribosomal RNA
Rfam family: Bacterial small subunit ribosomal RNA
Source: RNAcentral